Non-coding RNA from Parelaphostrongylus tenuis, 71 nucleotides. Lineage: Eukaryota; Metazoa; Nematoda; Chromadorea; Rhabditida; Metastrongylidae. The record is from the annotation of a GenBank genome assembly.
GCCUUGGUGGUGUAGUGGUAGCAUGCGCUCUCGGUAAGGAUGAAACGUGGGUUCAGCUUCCGCCUGAGGUA